GCAUAUCAAUAAGCGGAGGAAAAGAAACCAACAGGGAUUGCCCUAGUAACGGCGAGUGAAGCGGCAACAGCUCAAAUUUGAAAUCUGGCAACAGCCCGAGUUGUAAUUUGCAGAGGAAGCUUCUGGCGACGCACUGUCUAAGUCCCCUGGAACGGGGCGCCACAGCGGGUGAGAGCCCCAUGUGAUGGCUGCGGACCCAGUGUGAAGCUCCUUCGACGAGUCGAGUAGUUUGGGAAUGCUGCUCAAAAUGGGAGGUAAAUUCCUUCUAAAGCUAAAUAUUGGCCAGAGACCGAUAGCGCACAAGUAGAGUGAUCGAAAGAUGAAAAGCACUUUGAAAAGAGGGUUAAACAGCACGUGAAAUUGUUGAAAGGGAAGCGCUCAUGACCAGACUUGCGCUGGGCUGAUCAUCCGGUGUUCUCACCGGUGCACUCUGCCCGGCUCAGGCCAGCAUCGGUUUUGGCGGGGGGAUAAAGGCGCCGGGAACGUAGCUCCUCCGGGAGUGUUAUAGCCCGGUGUGCAAUACCCCCGCUGGGACCGAGGUCCGCGCAUCGCAAGGAUG
Molecule: ribosomal RNA, 559 nt
Filed under: Pseudoechria prolifica
Lineage: Eukaryota; Fungi; Ascomycota; Sordariomycetes; Sordariales; Schizotheciaceae
Description: Podospora prolifica partial 28S ribosomal RNA
Rfam family: Eukaryotic large subunit ribosomal RNA
Source: RNAcentral